UUAUGCACCCUGUUUUACCCGGUAGGCUGCUGCAGCCAGAUAUAACUUCCAAAGAAGUACGCACCAUCUAAAGAGUGGUUCGACUACACGAAAGCUAGGUCGGUCGCUAAAUUGGCUACAGAACAAGAAGUUAUUCUCAUUCGUUUGACUGAUGCUGGGGUACCGAUGACUUCAAAGAUGUUACUUGGGUAUUACAUGAUGAGAAACUCGUUUAGCCUGUUGUAUAAUGACCAAAAUUAAUUAAUAAGAUCUCAUUACAUUUAUUAUAAGCAUUGACAAAGUUUUAUUAUAAUUAAGAAGUUGAAUACUUACUAGUUUUCAUUGAGGCCUUAUUAAGACAUAGG
Spodoptera frugiperda (fall armyworm) is the source of this 344-nucleotide long non-coding RNA. RefSeq lists it as uncharacterized. The transcript has 2 exons. The record is from RefSeq and is a predicted model, not a curated record. NCBI's taxonomy places the organism in Eukaryota, Metazoa, Arthropoda, Insecta, Lepidoptera, Noctuidae.